RNAcentral lists this long non-coding RNA (1422 nucleotides) under Citrus maxima (pomelo). RNAcentral's name for it is "long non-coding RNA (CMAX_LNC003422)". Lineage: Eukaryota; Viridiplantae; Streptophyta; Magnoliopsida; Sapindales; Rutaceae. The record is from RNAcentral.
CCAGCUGAAGAAAUUGAAAACUCUUUGGCAUUUGUCUGCAAGCUUUAAAGCCGUCCGAAAACCAUUGUGCUUCUGCUAAUUUAACUUGAUAGCCAGCAACAAAAACAAGAAGAAGAACCCAGUACAGUUGCAGUUUCUAGUUUUUCAUGCUUGCCAUCUUUUCGUUCUUGAGAUUGAAAUGAUUUAAGAUUUAUUUAAAGGGUCUUUAUCUUAGUAUGCAAUUAAUGGUUUGAAAACAGAUUAUAUGCUAUUACAAGUGAAUUUUUCUGAUAACGAUUGCUUGACUAGGAUUCUUGUCAUAGUAUAAAUUAUUAAACAUGAUUUUAUAAUUAAUGAUUCGUACAUUAAGUGAAAUAGAAACCAGGAUUUGAAAACUACUAUGUUGGUAAAAUCGCUUGAAGCAACAGCCUAAAAUUAUCAGAUGGUGAGAAAACAGGAGAUGAUCUACCAAGAGAGUAAUGAAGUUUUCUAAAGUCCAACUGAAAUGAUUUCAGGAUUCGCUUCAACAAUGCAAAAAUAUAUUUGAUAUUUCAAAUCUAUGAAAUUCAUUAUCUUUAUCGUUAUCUUGGACGUAUCACAUGUCAAAAUGCAUUAAUUACCGAUGCUGGCACUUGAAAUAAAAAAAAUCAAAUGAUAACCAAGGUAAAGAAGCAAAGUAUUUUUAUAUUACAUACUUGAUUGUACCCCAAACCCAAUUUGUAAGACAUGAAGAAGAAAUCUCUUUUAUAGAGUUAUUUCCAAAAUGGCAGAAUCUACCAUCUUGAACCAAAGUAUAUCAUUAGAACAAGGAGGAGGAUUAAGGACAUUCUAUUUCGAGAGCUACCUGAUAGGGUACUUCAUUCUUGACAGAGUACUGGCCUUCGUUGUCAUAUUGCCACCGAAUCUGAACUUCUUUGAGGAAAUGAAUGCUUUGGUGGAAGAAGACCUUGAGCAAGAAAGAGACCAACAUGAAAUAGAGAUGAAGAAAAUCUCUAAUUAUGCAAAUAUGGUCUGAUUGGCUUGUCAGAUAACUAACCAAACUAAUCACUACUUUCAAUCUCAAUUAAAUUCCAACAAACAAUCUAUUUGCUAUACGAACUUAGGUGGUGAUCAACCAAAUAAAGUUGCCUGAAAACUGCUCCGACGAAACUCUGGGGAUAUAGUACAUUGUUUGUUGAUAUUGAAUGGGUAAACAGAAUAUUAGAAGCCCUUGCUGAAAUUUGACGGAGAUUGAAAGUAGUGAUUAAUUUGGUUCGUUAAAACUUACAAGCCCACAAGACCAAUUUGAUUAGUUAGAGAUCUUCUUCCACCAAGCAUCCACUUCCCCACAGGAUUUCAUGGCAGCCAAUUGUAUGCGGAUCGAUCUUCAAUUUGCCGUCUCAGAGUAUGAAACAUGAUCCAACAUUAUCACAGCCUAGCACUAUCUAAGUAGGUUUCUCUUUU